CCGGGCUCAGAGGGCGGGCGGGAGCAGGGGCGCCCCGGGCGCCGGGGCCGCUGGGGACGAACGCGGCGGGUCAGGCCCCGAAGCCCGGGCCGCGGUGGCCGCCUCAGGCGCCCGCUCUGGGGUGGGGGUGGGGGCAUCUUUCGGGACCGAACUCGCCGCAGCCUCCCUCUUUGUGCUCCUUUCCCCUGCUGCCCUUCCAGAUGCGCUCUUUCCAGAAAGGCAGCACACGCAUGUCUCUGCCGUGGCCCCAGAUCCUCCCCGCGCCGCCGUUUUGAGCGUUCACACUCAUUACCCAGGUCCGUCUGGGAGACCCGCCGGGCUCCCGCCCUCCCGGCCCGCAGCCUCCUGGCCAAAAUCCUCCCGGGACACCCCACCUGGACUGCUGCGAACGGGCCUCCACCCGCCUCCCCGGACCCGCAGCGCCCCCCGCUCCCUCAGGGUUCUGGGGUGAAGGGGUCUGAAUAGCACCAGGGGAGGCGGCAGGGCGGGCCUGUCCUACCUGCGCCCGAGCACUGCUGAGACGACAUCCCUUCCAGCGCCGCCACGUAGUCCAGCCCCAGCCAGCCGCGGUCCUGGAAGCACCGCAGGCAGACGACCUGCUCCUCACUGGGCUCAGGCAGGGUCACCCGCCCAGUGCCGCUAGCUGCAAAUUGCUUUACAUACAGUGACCCAAAGAGCAAGUCAUUUCAGGGCCCCACCACUCUGAUUGGAAGUCAUAAGCUUGACAACUGAUUGGCCUCUGUCACCCAAGCGGGUGUGGGGACACUAGGCCCGCAGGUGCCACUGGAAGAGGCGUUCAGAAGCACUGCGGUGCUCCAGCUCCUGGAUGCAGGUCUGAGGCCUGAGAUGUCCAGGAAGAAAGACCCAGAAAUGAGGGAUGGUGUGGGUGGGAUUCCUGAGCGUUCUGCUAGGCCUGCUGAGCACUUCUUGGCCUUUUCCAUAAGGCUUUCUCACUCUGUCUUACAGAUAUCUCCCCACAAACCUAAACAAUUUCGAGAGGGACUUGUGUUCUGCAACCAGUCACAGAAUAUCAGGUGAGCUGGGCGUGUCUUCACUGACCCACCCGCCCAGGGAUGCUGCACUCCUCUCCACCCUGCUCAGAAUCACUAGAAUGACCGUUCUGUGGCUACAGCCCUAAAAGAGCUACUAAAAAGACCAGAAGUAGUAUGAGAACUUAUGAAUACGAAUAUAAAUAAAGGACAUCUGGAGAACAUGCA
RNAcentral lists this long non-coding RNA (1217 nucleotides) under Homo sapiens (human). Its description in RNAcentral is "HSALNT0317623". Lineage: Eukaryota; Metazoa; Chordata; Mammalia; Primates; Hominidae. The record is from RNAcentral.